AGAGUUUGAUCAUGGCUCAGAACGAACGCUGGCGGCAGGCCUAACACAUGCAAGUCGAACGCUCGUAGCAAUACGGGAGUGGCAGACGGGUGCGUAACGCGUGGGAACAUACCCUUUGGUUCGGAAUAACUUAGGGAAACUUGAGCUAAUACCGGAUACGCCCGAGAGGGGAAAGAUUUAUUGCCGAAGGAUUGGCCCGCGUCUGAUUAGCUAGUUGGUAGGGUAACGGCCUACCAAGGCGACGAUCAGUAGCUGGUCUGAGAGGAUGAUCAGCCACACUGGGACUGAGACACGGCCCAGACUCCUACGGGAGGCAGCAGUGGGAAUAUUGGACAAUGGCGCAAGCCUGAUCCAGCCAUGCCGCGUGAGUGAUGACGGCCUUAGGGUUGUAAAGCUCUUUACCUGGGAAGAUAAUGACGGUACCAGGAGAAUAAGCCCCGGCUAACUUCGUG
This 452-nucleotide ribosomal RNA is filed under the name uncultured bacterium. RNAcentral describes it as "bacterial SSU rRNA". It matches the Rfam family "Bacterial small subunit ribosomal RNA", at positions 8 to 507 of the family's 1533-position model. The record is from RNAcentral.